Molecule: ribosomal RNA, 271 nt
Filed under: uncultured Pseudomonas sp.
Lineage: Bacteria; Pseudomonadati; Pseudomonadota; Gammaproteobacteria; Pseudomonadales; Pseudomonadaceae
Description: partial 16S ribosomal RNA
Rfam family: Bacterial small subunit ribosomal RNA
Source: RNAcentral
UAGUUACCAGCACGUUAUGGUGGGCACUCUAAGGAGACUGCCGGUGACAAACCGGAGGAAGGUGGGGAUGACGUCAAGUCAUCAUGGCCCUUACGGCCUGGGCUACACACGUGCUACAAUGGUCGGUACAAAGGGUUGCCAAGCCGCGAGGUGGAGCUAAUCCCAUAAAACCGAUCGUAGUCCGGAUCGCAGUCUGCGACUCGACUGCGUGAAGUCGGAAUCGCUAGUAAUCGUGAAUCAGAAUGUCACGGUGAAUACGUUCCCGGGCCUU